UACGCUCAAUGGAUAUCGCAACGGAAAAUAUGUCGUCGUCAUAUGCUUGUUGGUCAUCGGCUAAAACGAAAAAUCCAAAACAAUAAUUGAUGCCACAUAUAUAUCAUUAAUUAAAUCAAUCCAUCAUUCAUGCACACCAUUCAUGAUAAAACAAAAUAUUCGACACAUGAAAAUACUCUUGUCCAUUCAUCCACAUGACUCCCAUCCC
RNAcentral lists this long non-coding RNA (208 nucleotides) under Setaria viridis. RNAcentral's name for it is "long non-coding RNA (SVIR_LNC004819)". Lineage: Eukaryota; Viridiplantae; Streptophyta; Magnoliopsida; Poales; Poaceae. The record is from RNAcentral.